ACACUGAUGGUGAAGUGGUUAUCAUGCUUGCCUUCCAUGGUGAUAAUAAGUUGCCCUUGAAGCAAGCGGCAGGGGUUCGAUUCCCCUUCAGUGUA
Termitomyces sp. J132 is the source of this 95-nucleotide transfer RNA. It matches the Rfam family "tRNA". From Rfam's summary of the family: Transfer RNA (tRNA) molecules are approximately 80 nucleotides in length. The record is from Rfam. Lineage: Eukaryota; Fungi; Basidiomycota; Agaricomycetes; Agaricales; Lyophyllaceae.